RNAcentral lists this long non-coding RNA (344 nucleotides) under Malus domestica (apple). RNAcentral describes it as "long non-coding RNA (MDOM_LNC003101)". Lineage: Eukaryota; Viridiplantae; Streptophyta; Magnoliopsida; Rosales; Rosaceae. The record is from RNAcentral.
UUCCAUCUCUUCAAUCAUAGCCUUUUUCCAUUUUGGAUCUUUAAGAGCAUCCUGUAACUUAUUAGGAGCUGAGACUGAUGACAAUUGGUUUGCAAAAGAUAUAUAAGAAUUUGACAAGCGAUGAGAUGAAACAAAAUUAGAUAUAGGAUAUUGAAUACCCUUUGUAGAAGAAUGACCAUAACGAACAGGGGGUAUCCCUCGAUUUUCUCGAAUAGGAUAACGAGAACCCUGAGACUCACGAUGUGGUUCAUUUGAAUCAUUUGGAUCAUCACUUAAUGAAAUCUCAUGAUUGGACUCAUCAAAUAUAGUAGGCUGAAAAGAGGGAGAAUGAGUGGUUACCUCAG